Molecule: long non-coding RNA, 269 nt
Organism: Homarus americanus (American lobster)
Lineage: Eukaryota; Metazoa; Arthropoda; Malacostraca; Decapoda; Nephropidae
Exons: 3
Source: RefSeq, a predicted model, not a curated record
GUACAUCCAGGAGCCGGUGCAUGCCCAGUACUUGCCAGAGACGUGACCGAUCGCCCAAGCGGCUAACAAGCCGAUCAGUGGUGAAGAGGAUAAAAGAAAAGUAAAAGAACAUGUAGGUAAUAAGAGCCAGUACAGCUGUAAAAUGGGAAGAGACGUCGUUCGGUUCCUACUGUCGUUGACGACUGCGGCGUCGGCAAUGCAGUGUUGCACCGGAUGUGUUAACACGUCGCUGGACUUAACAACAAUCUCGGGGAUUUGCACACACAGAC